GCGGUGUAGCUCCAUGACCUGCUGGGAAAUGUAGUUCGGCUCCAAAUAGCCAACGGGUGACCGCCAGGCGCGGCGGUUGCGACGGGGCAGUCCCACUCCCAUCCCACCUACACCCCACCCCUGCGGCUCGGCCGGAUGUGGGCUGUCUCUCGGCCCGGAAGAUCUGCGCGAGGCGGCGGCUGUUUCCGCCAGAGCGUCCAGUGUGGGUCAAAGGACUGCAGAGGCGACGCGGAUCUGGCAGGUGAUAUAAAGGCAGCGAGACAUUCUGACCAGUGUUGGCUCUGACGCUGAAAACCACCCAGGCUGCUCAAGACGUGAGCGGGAUCUCCCUGAGGACGUGGAUUUACUCACAGCCUGACCCCUAGGAGAGUCGAUGGCACAUGGUUUGGAGAGGGUUGGGAGGGCACAACGCCUUUCCAGACACAUGGUCCUCCAGAUGUCCCACCCCUCACCUCCACAUACCGGCCUGCAGAGCAUCGGUAGGCUCUACAUCCAACUUGAACUCAGCUGAACUCAGAACUCUUGAACCGGCGCUUGAACUCAGAACCCGGCGAUCAAAAGUCACAUGCUCUAUGGACUGAGCCAGCCAAGUGCCCUAAACACAUAUUUUGGACACCCUGCCAGGAUGCUGGAGAAAGAAGGGUGAAAAAGGCAUAGGUGUCCUUUGGAGCUCAUGGCCCAGUGUGGGGUUCUAGAAGUCGCUCCAGAGCUAAUGCAAGUCGUAUGUGUGGUGAGCUGACUUCUGCCACAGUUAACUGCUUCUGUCUUUCUGCUUUCUGUCUUUCUGAUUUUUAUCCCCAACUUUUUGUUUUGAAAAAUUUCAAACCUACGGAAAAGUUGAGAAGAGUUACCUGGAUUCACCAACUGUUCACAUCUUACAGUACUUGGUGAUUCUCUUACCUACACACAUGCAUGAACUUUUUUUUUCAUUUUUUCCCCCUCUGAACCAUUCGGUAAUGAAUCUCAAACAUUAUCAGAUAUUACUCCAAAUACCAGAUACCCUAAGUACUAAGAACGAGGAUAUAAGGAUACU
Herpailurus yagouaroundi (jaguarundi) is the source of this 1033-nucleotide long non-coding RNA. RefSeq lists it as uncharacterized. Lineage: Eukaryota; Metazoa; Chordata; Mammalia; Carnivora; Felidae. The record is from RefSeq and is a predicted model, not a curated record. The transcript is spliced from 4 exons.